AGUCGAGCGAGCAGAAUUAACAGAAUCACUUCGGUGAGGACGUUUAGCAUUAGGGCUAGGGAUGGGUGAGUAACACGUGGGUAACCUGCCCUUAAGUCUGGGAUACCACUUGGAAACAGGUGCUAAUACCGGAUGAGAUCAAGUUUUGCAUGAAGCUUGAUUAAAAGGCGGCGAAAGCUGUCGCUAAAGGAUGGACCCGCGGUGCAUUAGCUAGUUGGUAAGGUAACGGCUUACCAAGGCGAUGAUGCAUAGCCGAGUUGAGAGACUGACCGGCCACAUUGGGACUGAGACACGGCCCAAACUCCUACGGGAGGCAGCAGUAGGGAAUCUUCCACAAUGGGCGAAAGCCUGAUGGAGCAACGCCGCGUGAGUGAAGAAGGUUUUCGGAUCGUAAAGCUCUGUUGUUGGUGAAGAAGGAUAGGGGUAGUAACUGGCCUUUAUUUGACGGUAAUCAACCAGAAAGUCACGGCUAACUACGUGCCAGCAGCCGCGGUAAUACGUAGGUGGCAAGCGUUGUCCGGAUUUAUUGGGCGUAAAGCGAGCGCAGGCGGAAAGAUAAGUCUGAUGUGAAAGCCCUCGGCUCAACCGAGGAAUUGCAUCGGAAACUGUAUUUCUUGAGUGCAGAAGAGGAGAGUGGAACUCCAUGUGUAGCGGUGGAAUGCGUAGAUAUAUGGAAGAACACCAGUGGCGAAGCGGCUCUCUGGUCUGUAACUGACGCUGAGCUCGAAAGCAUGGGUAGCGAACAGGAUUAGAUACCCUGGUAGUCCAUGCCGUAAACGAUGAGUGCUAGUGUGGGAGGUUUCCGCCUCCCAGUGCUGCAGCUA
RNAcentral lists this ribosomal RNA (824 nucleotides) under uncultured bacterium. RNAcentral describes it as "bacterial SSU rRNA". It matches the Rfam family "Bacterial small subunit ribosomal RNA", at positions 60 to 854 of the family's 1533-position model. The record is from RNAcentral.